CAGCAGCCACGGGAAUACAGAGGGUGCGAGCGUUAAUCGGAUUUACUGGGCGUAAAGCGUGCGUAGGCGGCUUCUUAAGUCGGAUGUGAAAUCCCUGAGCUUAACUUAGAAAUUGCAUUCGAUACUGGGAAGCUAGAGUAUGGGAGAGGAUGGUAGAAUUCCAGGUGUAGCGGUGAAAUGCGUAGAGAUCUGGAGGAAUACCGAUGGCGAAGGCAGCCAUCUGGCCUAAUACUGACGCUGAGGUACGAAAGCAUGGGGAGCAAACAGGAUUAGAUACCCCGGUAGUCCCUGUCUCUUAUAA
This 301-nucleotide ribosomal RNA is filed under the name uncultured bacterium. Its description in RNAcentral is "partial 16S ribosomal RNA". It matches the Rfam family "Bacterial small subunit ribosomal RNA", at positions 509 to 809 of the family's 1533-position model. The record is from RNAcentral.